RNAcentral lists this transfer RNA (40 nucleotides) under Rhynchospora globosa. Its description in RNAcentral is "partial tRNA-Leu". Lineage: Eukaryota; Viridiplantae; Streptophyta; Magnoliopsida; Poales; Cyperaceae. The record is from RNAcentral.
AUCCGUCGAUUUUUGAAAUCCUGAGGGUUCAAGUCCCUCU